AAACUCACAUAAUAUUGUACAUCAACUAUAUUUCAAUUUUAAAAAUUCAAUAGUCAGCUUCCUUGAUUGAUAUUCUAAGGACUCAAAACAAAACACCGACUCCAAGAGAGUCCAUCUCCAUAAGUUUCUAUUUCAGUCCCAUCCAAGCUUUCAGGAUUCUGUCCUUUUCGCACUGCUCUACUUUAUUGUCACCACCCACUUAGGUCCCUCUCUUCCUUCUACUCUUUCUCCCGACUUUCUAAGUGAGUCUGUCUCAGGAAAGGCACAAUAACAUCGCAAAAUAUCCCCUUAAAACUACUAGAUCAGAAGGCAUAUCUAUAGCAGCUGAAAUUUAACUAUAGUCUAGUGCUAAAUUGAGGGCUAUAAUUAUAGAAUUUUUGUAAACCUCAGGAAGGAAGAAAUUUGCUGUAGAAUUUAGGAUUUUGCUAGACAUUGUCCUGGGCUAUCAGAUUUUUACCAACCUAACUUUAGUUCACUUAAUUGCUAGUCUCCCUGGUGAGGGACAAUGUUAAAAGCAGCAGCGGAGGAGAGAGAGAAACUAAAUAACCCAGCUAUGCCACAGUUUUUUCAAUGGUCCUGAAAGGGCAAGAAAAAUAAGAAAGUUACUAAAAAUAAGGCCAUUUCAGAAGCCUUUUCAUUAUAGGCAGUGGUAUGCUGGCAAAUAUUUAACCACCAGCCCUCAACCUGAAAGGGGAGCCAUGAAUUGUAGGGUUUGCAGAUUUCCAUGCUGUAAAUGUACCCACGCUGGCCAAUUCCAGGCUAACAACAUGACAUCAUUGAAUGCAGUAUUGAGUAGAGAGGCUCUCAAGAGCCAGUGCAAGCUGGCUCCAGCACGCACUGCUCCAGGCUAGCUUGGCUAGAUUCAGAUUCGCAAACAAAAUAAGGAAUCAACAGUGACUUCAGGAAACUUCCAAUGAUAUUCCAGGGUAGACCUACAGCCAAAGUCAAGGGAAUCUAUUUUCAUUUUUAAUGUCCUCUGACCUGAAAUAAGAGAAUCAGAAACAAUAAAUUGGAAUGAAAAGUUGCCAAUUUAGACAUUUCUCAACAGGAAGCCCUAUAGAGAUAAAAAAGUUAAAAAUGGAAACAAACAUCUGGCUUAAGCCUCUGGUCCAGAGACCGAAAGUUGCUCUGUGCACUCAGAAUGCAGAGCUUGUCGAAAGGAUCACCUGCAGGUGUUGCAAACAUCGGAAGGACUAAUGCCUCACGAUGUGUAGAAACUCAAGAGCAACUUUCCAAAAUCUGUCCAGCGAUGUCCCUCAGGCAGACAUUAAUACCCAACACUCCCUGCCCUUCCUUCCUCUAAACUCCAUCUAGAGCAGAUAGCUGUUCUUUUUGUCUACCUGGGUACCUCUGGAGUCUUUUCAUGUGGUUCAGGUGAAGCUGACCUCAGCUCCAGCCCCCUCUUCCUUCAGACUAGCAGGUGACUCAGAGGUGGCUGAUCAGGAACUCUAGCCCACUGGUUCCAUGAUGGGCAAAUGACCCAACCUGUGUCCUUGAUCUUCAGAAUUUUUAGGAAGGAUGGUAUCUCUUCAGUGGAGUUAAGCUGGCUGCCAAGCUAGAAAGCAGAAUCCAUUUCUCCUUAUACCUGGGCUUGCCCUGGGGCAGCUCACCUGUUUUCGUGCCUCUGCUUCUGUUUCCCUGCAAUUACUUUUCCCUUCUCCCUCUUCUCACAGCCUCAUGGCUGCUACUUUGUCAUGGCCACUGAUGCGCCCUCAUUCUUGCCUUUUGCCUUUGCUCUGUGCAUCUCUCCCUUUCUCCCCAUUCCACCCCAUGAUGCAGAGACCAUGUCUGUUUUGUGUACUAUUGUAUAUCCAGUGCCUGGAAUACUUUUGAUUAAGGAAUGAUUUUUGCCUUUCUCUGAGUUUUCCAUUCAGACUUGCCAAGACAUGGCAUCUGAUGGGGCUGAGCCCCUUCAUGCCUGUCUUUGGUCAGGCAUCACCCCGGUCCAACCCAUUAUGGCCAAUGUCUAGCAGGGCCACCUGCAGGUAAUUAAAGGCAUCCAGAAAGAUGGAAGUAUAACUUGUUCAGUGCAAACAAGCUAUGAUGGGCAGAUUCUGGCUCAGCUCCUGCAUCCUGGUAUUCCUGCCCUUGUGUAAUCCUCUCCCCUUGAGUGUUGGCUGGGCCUGGUGACUUGCUCCUAACCAAGAGAAUACAGCAAAAGUGAUGGAAGUCAUUCCCAUGAUUAGGUUAUCAAAGAUUGCGACUUCUGUCUUGCUGGUAUUCUCACUCUGGUUCUUCGUAUAUGCUUGCCCUGUUGGAGAGGACCAUCUGUCAAGGGACCGUGGGUGACAUUCAGCCAACAGCAGAAAACUGAAUCCUACCAAUGGUCACGUGAGCUGCGAAGUGUACCCAUCCCAGCAAAGCCUUCAGAUGAGACCAGAGCCUCAGCUGACGCCUGGAUUUCAGCCUUGUGAGAGACCCUGAGGCAGAGGACCCAGCUGAGCGGUUCCUGGAUUCCUGACCUACACAAAUUCAGUGAUUUCAGAAGCCACGUGGUCCAGGUGGCAUAGCGCAAGAUGGAGGAGGACCACCCAACCAGUAUCAGACUGAGAUCGGAGGGAGAGAUGAACCUCGUUUCCAUGAGUCAGGAAUUCAGGGGUGUUCCUUCGGGCAGUCCCCACCCAAGGUAUCUCAUGAGGGUACAGUCAGAUGUUGGCCAACGCUGCAUCAUCUGAAUGCUCUAGGCUGGAGGAUCCAUUUCCAAGAGGGUGCACUCAUGUGGCUGUUGUCCAGAAGCCUCAGCUCCUUUCCACACAGUGAUCCAAGACACCAAAGAGGAAGCUGUGAUGCCUUCACACACUGUCACUUCCAUCAUAUAAAUUUCCUGGUCACACAGGGACCUGGUGGGUGCAAAGAGCAGAAGGUCUGGAAUGAGGCUGCCUGGAGCAAAUUCCGGUUCUCAUCUUUACUGGCUGUGUGACCUUGGAUCAAGGCAGGAAUGGAAACAGCACAAGCCUUUGAAUUGAAGGAUCCAGACUGGAGUUCUAACUCAGCCCUGGCCCUGUCCUCAGAAGGAGCUGACACCUUCUCAGGAAAAUGCACAGAUCCUCAGGGAAUGAUGCUCCACCGACUUCAGGAGGCCAGGUGUGACCACGUGACUGGCCUGUCCCUUCUGCGCAGAACUUCAAGUGCAAGCCUGUGAUCCGCCAUAUUCCCUCAUCCUGCCUCGGUGACAGGGGAGGCGUGUGUUGAGAUGAAGCUUCCCUGUCCUUGGUCCCUUAGCAUUUGGGGCCUUGACCCUGAAGAGACUGACCUCCUAGGGCUAGCUAAUUCCUAGAGAUAGCAAACAGCUCCUGUGAGAACACGCCUUUGAUACACAAACCAACCAAUCUACAGCCACAGCCCCAACUAUGUCUUCUAUCAAACUCGCACCCAAGCCAGUGUUCUCCCUGCCCUGAACCACCCCAGGACCAGGUACUGGACAGCUAGGGGCCACACCUGUAGCCCAGACCUGCCAGAAUUAUCCAAACUAGUCAACCCUAUGCUAACUCAGUGUACCCACUCUGCCUCGCCCAUUCCUUCCUGCGAAAACCCCAAUAAAGACUCUGGGCCAUGCUAUUCCCUGGCCCUCUGUGCCUCCCGACCAACCCCGGUCCCUCUCCAUGUGGCACUGCAAGAUGUUCCGUGCCUCCUGCUUCUACGGAUAUGUGAGUAGAAACUUCUUUAUGAUCAUCAUUUUUGUGCCUGCAUGUCUUAUCAUUCCUGAUAAAAAUAAGUCCCACUCCAUUUUAACUCAAACCUGACCCAUCCUGAUGGAUACACUAGGAAGAAGAUUGGGACUGGCAUCAGCCACACUGGAUUUUCUUACCCUCUUCCCCACCUCUGGGUUCUGCUUCGCUCCGGGCUAGCCUCUCCUACUGCAGGUGGGCUUUCGUGUGAGGAAGGUGGGCCCGAGCAUCCCCGGCUUCACUACCAGAGCCGAGAGGCAGGAGGCUGUCUUCGCUGCCGAUUCCAGCAGAACAGGCAUAGGGAAAGAUCAGUCUGGCCCAGUUUGAGUCAGGUGCAAUCAUGGGACAAUCUCUGCGGGGCACGGCCGUCGGUCAGGACUGAGCCAUCCACUCACCCCUGUGCCUGGGUGGGCGGACAGUGCUGGGAGCCAAGGGGAGCCACCACCGAGACCUAUCAUCGCCCUUCCGUGAAUGGAGUCUGGACACCCAAACCCUGCCUCGCCCUGAGGGAAGGAGUUUGCAGGCAGCUGCUCAUUGCACAAAGUACUACUGGGAAACCAGACAAGCACGGAACGAAGGAAUUUCAUUUGAGGUAGAAGCUCGGAGGUUUUUUCUGAGAUAGGGUCAAGCCAACCCAUUAACAUGGUACACACCAUCCAUCCUCGCCAAUAGUAGGAAAACCACCCACUUAAACGAGCGCGUGAGGUGAAGGGUAGCAAACGUUUAUCGGUGUUA
Molecule: long non-coding RNA, 4403 nt
Organism: Balaenoptera musculus (blue whale)
Lineage: Eukaryota; Metazoa; Chordata; Mammalia; Artiodactyla; Balaenopteridae
Exons: 7
Source: RefSeq, a predicted model, not a curated record